GAAGCGGCUCCACCCCAGUUUCCAGGGAAUCAGGCCGUCUCCGGUGUGGCGGGUGAGCGCCGCGGCCCUGCGAGCGUCCCCCUCGGAGCGGGUGCGCCACUUGGCGAUGCCCCGCGUACCCGCUGAAGGCUGGCACCCGGACCGCCCCCUGCUGGCCACGGUGAGGAAGGCUGUGCUGACGGCCGUGCCGACCCCCCACAUCUGCCAGCUGUCCCAGCCCAAGAAACUGGCCACCCUGCCACCCCAGAACGCGCACGCGCUGCCCGCGGGGGGGCCGCAGCCGGCCAGGGUCUCGUCCCACAUCAGUAUCCUGGCCGCCCCCAAGUCGCUGCACCCAGAGUACCAGGCCGAUCGGCCCGUGUUGUGGUCGGUCCCGACGUCGGCGCGUCGCGCUGCGCCCAGCGAGCGGGUGCGAGUCCUCGCCCAACCCAAGGUGACGAUGGCGCUCUGCGAGGACCGCGACCCCUACCGCAUCAGCCGGGCCGCCCUGCGCGCCGUCGCCUCCCCCCGAGUCGAGGAGCUCAGCGCCCCGCUGCCGCGAAAGUGCAGGCCGCAGUAGUCGAGCGAGGAGACGGCGUCCGGGGGGGAGCGGGAGUGGGUUGGGGGGCGGGUUGGCUGGCGAAGAGGAAGCAGCUGCUUUGGUUUGAAAAAGCAAACGUGCAAAGCCGACGCUCCUCUGAUCUCGGUCUGUUCCAUCAUGAAUUUUACUCACUUUACUGUACUUUGCACCGCGCUCUACAGGGACUUGCACUCCGGCCUGUCAUUCGAACCUGCGCAUCAGUCCCGUCAGUUAUUUCCACCGCGACCGGACCGAGUCGAACGCGUCGCUACACGUAUCAGUUCCGAAGCGAAACGUUCAUUUCGACCUUUCAGCACAAAUCCUCUCGCAAACUUUUCCACUUUAUCGUUUCUUUUUUACGUUGUUUCCUCCCUGGGACGAACUCGAGUCGUGUUUUCCCUGCAGGCAUGUGGGAGUUGCCUCACUUCGCCUCAUUUUACCUCAUUUCACCUCACUCGCACAGUGUUUACAGCUCGCGGCUCCUGCUCCUCAGCGGCACGAGGACGCGGGGGGCGCGCGGACAGCGAGCACGAGAAGGUCCUUUGCGGCACCUUUAUUUCCGGUCCUUCUUAUCGUCACUUUUCCUCGGCGUUACAGUGUAAGUGUUUGCUGUCCUGCAUUGAUGGGACUCCAGAGUGUGAAUAAAGAAUCUGUGAAUCACUGGGGCUCCUUUCUC
This 1235-nucleotide long non-coding RNA is filed under the name Scleropages formosus (Asian bonytongue). Its description in RNAcentral is "lncRNA (ENSSFOG00015027700.1)". The record is from RNAcentral. Lineage: Eukaryota; Metazoa; Chordata; Actinopteri; Osteoglossiformes; Osteoglossidae.